RNAcentral lists this ribosomal RNA (492 nucleotides) under uncultured bacterium. RNAcentral's name for it is "partial 16S ribosomal RNA". It matches the Rfam family "Bacterial small subunit ribosomal RNA", at positions 29 to 507 of the family's 1533-position model. The record is from RNAcentral.
AGUGAACGCUGGCGGUAGGCCUAACACAUGCAAGUCGAACGGCAGCACAGUAAGAGCUUGCUCUUACGGGUGGCGAGUGGCGGACGGGUGAGGAAUACAUCGGAAUCUACUUUUUCGUGGGGGAUAACGUAGGGAAACUUACGCUAAUACCGCAUACGACCUACGGGUGAAAGCAGGGGAUCUUCGCACCUUGCGCGAUUGAAUGAGCCGGUGUCGGAUUAGCUAGUUGGCGGGGUAAAGGCCCACCAAGGCGACGAUCCGUAGCUGGUCUGAGAGGAUGAUCAGCCACACUGGAACUGAGACACGGUCCAGACUCCUACGGGAGGCAGCAGUGGGGAAUAUUGGGCAAUGGGCGCAAGCCUGAUCCAGCCAUACCGCGUGAGUGAAGAAGGCCUUCGGGUUGUAAAGCCCUUUUGUUGGGAAAGAAAAGCAGCAGGUUAAUACCCCGAUGUUCUGACGGUACCCAAAGAAUAAGCACCGGCUAACUUCGUG